Molecule: non-coding RNA, 74 nt
Organism: Trichonephila clavipes
Lineage: Eukaryota; Metazoa; Arthropoda; Arachnida; Araneae; Nephilidae
Source: the annotation of a GenBank genome assembly
GUCUCUGUAGCGCAGUGGAUAGCGCGUUGGACCUAUAAUCCAAAGGUCGUGGGUUCGAAUCCCUCGGGAUGACC